AAGCGAUAACUAGAAGAGGCACUGAGCCUGCAUAGCUAUCAAAAAUGUCAAUCCAGUAACUCCCUGAACCCAGUGUAAAACACAGAGCAAAAAGGAAGGAAGCUAGACAUAUUAUACCUGAAGAAAAAGAGAUACCUUUGUUACUGGAGGACAGAAAUUGAGAUCAUUUUUGUUCUAAAUUGUUUUUACUUGUGUUUGAGUAACUUUUAUUCUCUUUCCCUAUAUGGACCUACUUGAUACCAUUUCCUAAACUCAGUUUUCUCCUCUGUGGUGACCAAAGACACGAUUCUUUUGCAUGAGGAAAGCAUUCCUGUGACAAAUAUUCUUCAGUUACUAGAGUUCCAAGCAAGUACUCUGCACUGUGCCUUGCCUUGUGGUAGUCUUUGGAUGUUGCCUAUUGACUGAUGCAGAGAGCUUUAGCUGUUCUCAUGUUCAUGCAGUCAUUGGUCUACAUAAACAGCUGGGACCUGUGGUGGGUAAGCACCUAGAGCUGAGAAGGAUACCUCCUUAUGUCCCGAGAUGGAAGUACAUGCAUAUGGAUGGUUACCUCAUCAAGUUGCAGAUAGAUUUGGUUUUUUUACAUAAAAAGUUGUGGAAUUAGAAGAAUCUAAUUUAGGUGCCCCAGCAAGACUUUAGAAAAGGCAUGGUAGCAAUAUUCCAUGUAUUAAUUUAAAAUGAUACAGUAGACAGGUGUUAAUCCAUUACUUGAAACUGCUGAAUUUUUUCUGGACCAAUCCAGUAGGAUCUCUCCUAUUAUUCUCUUCUGUUUCUUUUUGCUAAUGCAGGCUUUUAUGUUUCAGCAAAGAAAGCCAAAAUGAACAAAUUCAACUCAGAGCCCAAUUCCUGAAGAGAAGGCUGGAUUUGGUGUCUCAGUUGGAAGAGGCUCUAGCUUUGAACAAGAUCUUCACAAGGGAUGAUGUGUAUUUGUGUCCUCGGCUCUGAUGCGCAGCCCCUGGCUCCACCAGCGCUGCUGUAAGAAGGCUGGCGCUCCUCUGCUUCGUGCCCUGGGCUCAGCCUUUCUCCAUUCUGGGAGACUCUGUGGCAGCAGGCAGCCACCUGAGCAAAAUGGUCAGACCAAAACUGAGAGGUUGCCCUUUCCCACUGGCAAAGCAAGACUUUGCACUGGAAGCCCCUAGGAGAAAAAGUUUCUGCAUGACAUUUUACAAGAACCUAUAGUGCUGCCUAACUGGAAACAAGCCGAAAACUGUUCUGUAAGCUGUGGGAGCAAUGACAUCUGGUUUCAUCUGGAUACCAUCAAAGAAGUGUGACGCUGAAUAUAAUUAAAAAGAGACCUUUACAGCAUUAAGACAUUAACAUUGUAAGAUGUGUAGAUCUGUGAAUUAAGGAAGCAUUGGCUUUUUCUCUUUGUUAGCUGAGUGACUGAAGACAUCUUUGGUAAGUACAAAAAGUGAUUUUUUUUUUUUAAUACUAAAUUAGUCUUAAUUGGAUUUACCUGUUGCUGUUACACCAAAACCUCAAAUAGAACCUGGUAAAGGUGUGUUUUCAUGGCUGUACUUGCAGUAGCUUUUUGCCCACCUCAAGAUCUGCCAUUGGGACACACAGACCAGCUGCAGCCACACAGCUCCUGCUGCAUAGGUCGCUGUCCUCCAUAUUGCUUUUCCCUCUGAACAUCCACACACGUACCUGUGACUGACAGAAAUUAUUUGAAAGGUACAACACACUAUGGCUGGGACUCUUUGAGGAUCCCUUCAACAUUUGUUCCUAAGCAAACCCAAGAUGGGACUGUUCUCUAGACAAGACCAUAUAUGUUCAGACAUCAAAAUCUUGUCUGCUUUCACCAUAACUGCCUGAGGUUAAUCACUUCCCACCUGUCAAUGAAUCCCAAGUGACUAUUUUUAUUUUUCAUUAAAUAGUUACUGAGGAAUGUAACAGCUGAGUGCUUGCCUUCAAUUGAAAGCCUGUGAGAAAAACUUUAAUGUUCUCUUUCCAAAAUACCAGGGUUUUGCUGUUUUACACUCCACACCUUUAUAGAACAUCCACGUCACAGAAAUCAGCUACAGCACCCACCACCCUCCCCCCCACCACUGUUGUGCUCCAGACCAGAGAGUGCUGUGCUCGGGCUGUCCUGGCAGUACCUCCAUCCCUGCCCCCUGCAGCUGCUUCAGACUCAGCUCAUUAGGAAAAUCUGACUGCCUUUCCUAUUACAGAAUAGCAACUUGAAAGAUUUUAAAUAAAAUAUAUUCAUAGAAUCAUAGAAUUGUUCAGGUUGGAAAAGACCUUAAAGAUCAUCAAGUCCAACCACAACCUAACCAUACUACCCUAACUCUAACAACCCUCCACUAAAUCAUGUCCCUGAGCACCACAUGCAAACAGUUUUUAAAAACAUUCAGGGAUGGUGACUCAACCACCUCCCUGGGGAGCCAAUUCCAGUGCUUAACAACUCUUGCUGUAACUUAAACUUUCCCUGGUGCAACUUGAGGCCAUUUCCCCUCAUCCUGUCAACUGUCACUAGAAGAGACCAACCCCACUCUUGCUGUAAUUAUCCUUCAGAUAUUAUUAUUCAGAUUAUUAUCGUCCAUAAAUAUUCAUAUUCAUAUUUUUUAAUAUUCAAAUAAUAUAUAUUU
Long non-coding RNA from Tympanuchus pallidicinctus (lesser prairie-chicken), 2585 nucleotides. RefSeq lists it as uncharacterized. The record is from RefSeq and is a predicted model, not a curated record. The transcript is spliced from 4 exons. Lineage: Eukaryota; Metazoa; Chordata; Aves; Galliformes; Phasianidae.